Molecule: long non-coding RNA, 583 nt
Organism: Prunus mume (Japanese apricot)
Lineage: Eukaryota; Viridiplantae; Streptophyta; Magnoliopsida; Rosales; Rosaceae
Source: RefSeq, a predicted model, not a curated record
UCACCCUCACCCUCACCUUUGUUUGGAGCUCUCAUCUCACUUUCACUUACCAAUGCUUCCUGUUUCUGUGUUAGCUGAUCGUUUUGAUUUUCCAUUGGAUCAGUCUUUUGAAAUCAAUCUGCAAUUUCCAACUGGAUUUUUCUGGGUUUUCAAGCAACCCUAGAUCCAGCUUCAAAUUGCUUACAUGUGUUGGUUAAACCCAUAAUUUAACUGGAAGCAAGGUGGGCAGAGGCUUCAAACAAAGAUGCAUAUUUCCCUUCCUUUUGGUUUGCUGAGAUGCAUGACCGUCCAACCAUCUUAGCUAUUGCUGGAAGAGUAUACUUAAGUGUUAUAAUACCCAGGAGUUAAUCAAUCGAACAUUAUGUAUUGAUUAAGCUUGAACAAGUCUUAGUUCUAUAAUUUUGAAAAACAAUGUGCACUAUGUAGGAGAGAUCUGUGACUGAUCGCAAAACAAGAGCUGCUAUCUUCAGGUUUUUGUCCAACCCCGAACACUUUGUAUCCUUGUUGAUGAUAGGAAUGUGCAGGGGAAAAGGAUGUUGUAAAAGAACAAAUAUUGUAUGUAAGGCGCCAUACUGUCUGGUAA